This 492-nucleotide ribosomal RNA is filed under the name uncultured bacterium. RNAcentral describes it as "partial 16S ribosomal RNA". It matches the Rfam family "Bacterial small subunit ribosomal RNA", at positions 29 to 507 of the family's 1533-position model. The record is from RNAcentral.
AGUGAACGCUGGCGGUAGGCCUAACACAUGCAAGUCGAACGGCAGCACAGUAAGAGCUUGCUCUUACGGGUGGCGAGUGGCGGACGGGUGAGGAAUACAUCGGAAUCGACUUUUUCGUGGGGGAUAACGUAGGGAAACUUACGCUAAUACCGCAUACGACCUACGGGUGAAAGCAGGGGAUCUUCGGACCUUGCGCGAUUGAAUGAGCCGAUGUCGGAUUAGCUAGUUGGCGGGGUAAAGGCCCACCAAGGCGACGAUCCGUAGCUGGUCUGAGAGGAUGAUCAGCCACACUGGAACUGAGACACGGUCCAGACUCCUACGGGAGGCAGCAGUGGGGAAUAUUGGACAAUGGGCGCAAGCCUGAUCCAGCCAUACCGCGUGGGUGAAGAAGGCCUUCGGGUUGUAAAUCCCUUUUGUUGGGAAAGAAAAGCAGCAGGUUAAUACCCCGCUGUUCUGACGGUACCCAAAGAAUAAGCACCGGCUAACUUCGUG